UUCUCGAAGAAGAAAAGGUUUCCAUCUAAGC
RNAcentral lists this non-coding RNA (31 nucleotides) under Mus musculus (house mouse). The record is from RNAcentral. Lineage: Eukaryota; Metazoa; Chordata; Mammalia; Rodentia; Muridae.